UUCUUCUCAUUCUUCUCUUCACAUCUGACUUGGGAGCUCUCUCAAGCAUUGGAACUUUGUCUUCUUUGUUGAAAAGAUAGCAAGGACCCUUAGUGAGCAUUCUUUCAUUCCUUUUAUUGCUUUUUCCUUAUGUAGUGCAGAAAGUCAAACGUUUGGCCAACAGUUUGACUUUCGGUUUUGACCAUCAAUUGGUCAAGUCAAAGUUUAAUUGAACUUUGAAACGUGAUUGUAAUCACGAUAGUUAUAAUCCUUCGUGAUUAUAGCCGCUGAUUACCACGUUAGGUAGUUAUAGUGUCGAGUCAAAGUUUCGGUCAAAAUGCGUUUUAGCACGCAUUUUGCCUCGGAACUACUUUAGGGUAUCAAAACACUUUGUUUUGAUACCAAAUCAGUAGGUUAGACAUGUUUUGACAUGUCUAACUCGACACUAUUAGUUUAGUGCUUGUUUAGGGUCGUAAGUUAAGCGGUCUAAACAACCGCUUACACUUUCGAACCCGACCCAUCUGGUCGAUCUUUAGGAUCCGACCAAGCAUGUUUAGUGACCAUAGUUGCAUAGGGAAUAACCUUCCGAGGUUAUACCUUAUGGUCACCGAGUUUAAGUAGUUGUAUGAUAGGCGAAUUAUAUGCCUUAGGUAAAUUACCAAAAUGCCCUUUUUAUGCAUAAUUGGACUUUAAGCAUAUGUAACCUAACUUUUGUCACCUAAACUGAUUAUGCAACUUAUUUAAACAUGUUUAGGCAUAUAAUACUUGUCAUAGGACUAGUUAGACGUCUCGAACGCGCGUUUGCGUGCACGACGCGUUAAAAUAGCGUAAGCUACCUUAAUGGGUCGCGAUGGGUCGAAAGAACUUAGGUUAGGUUCCGAUUUAGAAUGUGGGCUUUGUUAAACCAUAUCACGUGAGUUCCUACACUCAUUUGGUUUACAAGACCUCAUUCUUUCCGAUCUUCCGAUUUAGGCGUCUGUUGUUUGACUAGCGAUCCGAUACUAGGUACCACUUGAUUCCUUGAUUGCCCGAGCAUUGAUAGUUCACAAAAUCAGGGAUACCCUACAAUCUCAAGUGAGUACAUAGUUCCCCUAUUUUAUUGUUUCAAUUGUUUUGGGGUGAUUCAUAUGUACAAAACGAAUUUCAAGGUUUAAACGAGGGUUUCAAAAAAAACGAUGGUUUAUACUAAACUAAUAACGAUUUCAAUAAAGUGAACAAGACUUGUUGGUUGUAUUUACAUAACGAAUGACAUUCAUUAGCUCUGAUCAAGCCGACCAGUAUUAGGUUAUGGUACCAUAGGAUCUGACAAAUCCCGUUAUCAGACUACACCCAUUGUUAUGUGUGGGGGUUAUGUAGAUAAUGACCGAAUCUGUUAUUGUUAACUUACCCUAUGGUGGUUUGUUAAUGCGAGAAACGAGUUAGACGAGUCACAAAGGUUUGAAUGUUGUUAGCAAGAUGACCAAAAGUAGUUUCACUAUUAAAACGAAUACGAUUUUGGGACGAGUUAAACAAUUUGAAACGAGAUACACGAUUUGAAACAAGAUAGACGAAUUAAACGAUUGGUUUUGGGUAGUGAUUAGAUAAUGGGACGGGUGUAGUAUGAUAGAAUCAUGGUAGAUACGCCACUAGUACAUCUUAUAUAUAAGUGCUUCUAUCAUAUUACAUUGUGUGUCAUUAUUUAGUUCACUGGGGAAACGAUUUUGAAACGAUGUUACACAACGAGGUUUUUAAAACGAUAUAAACCAUACGAGUUUUAUUAACGAAUUUUUACGAGAUGUUUACAAGUUGUUAUACUAAAACAAAUGUUUUUGAGUUACGAGUCAUGGCUACGAGAUUUUAUAAACUAUAACCAAUUUGAUUUGAGUUGGUUAAACUAUGUUGCAAUACACUUUUCUAAACGAGGUUUGUAUUUUGACUCUUGUAGUCUAACGAGGUACUGCAACAUAUAAACAAGCCAUGAAUCCGAUACUCCCACAAAACCUAUGUGGUAUUGCUUGAUGUUGCUUGCUAGGAAGCUUGUGUCACAUAGGACCUGGACGAGGCCUUAGUGAUUUAAAAACAGUUAUAAACAAUAUGUAGUUUGUUUAUUUUGAUUUAAAGACAAUGUACAUUACAUAAUAAUUCAAUAAAACAAAACAUUUGGUUACCAUGGUUGUGAAACAAUAAUUCUGUUGCAACACUCCCCGACGUUUCCGCCACGGUUUGUUGUUUUAACGUGGUUGGGGUGUGACAGUAUGGCCUUAAGCUUACGGUCCGCAAGGAGCAUAUCUGGGCGUAUCUGACCAGGGUCGGUUACGGACCGUAACCGUAUAAUCAUACGGUCCGCAAGAGGAGCAUACGGACCGCAAGAGCUUUGGCCUACGGUCCGUAAGGCUGUCGCUGGCAGCAGAAAAUGGACAGCUGCCUGUUCAGCCAGUUCCAUCGCCUUUCAUGAGUGGUUUACGAAAUCAAGGACUUGCUAGGCAGUAUUUAGCCACAUAGGGGCACCUGGGAUCAUCUCAAAACACAUGUAGACUUCCUUGGCAAGAUCUUGUGACAUUUAGUUCACUAUAUAAGGAGCUUUAGUUGUGACCAUUUUAGUUCAUUCACUUCAAAAGUUCACAACUUCAUCUCUGGAGCUCUUUGGACAUCAAGCCAACUUUCUAGUGAUCUCUAGCAGUAAUUAGGACUCUUGUAAGUGUCCUUAACCUCCUUUAAUCUAUUUUAGCUUAGUUAAUUAGCUAA
This 2703-nucleotide long non-coding RNA is filed under the name Helianthus annuus (common sunflower). RNAcentral describes it as "hypothetical non coding rna". Lineage: Eukaryota; Viridiplantae; Streptophyta; Magnoliopsida; Asterales; Asteraceae. The record is from RNAcentral.